AGAGUUUGAUCAUGGCUCAGAACGAACGCUGGCGGCAGGCUUAACACAUGCAAGUCGAACGGGCACCUUCGGGUGUCAGUGGCAGACGGGUGAGUAACGCGUGGGAACGUACCCUUUGGUUCGGGAUAACCCGGGGAAACUCGGGCUAAUACCGGAUAUUACCGGAGACGGGAAAGGUUUACUGCCGAAGGAUCGGCCCGCGUCGGAUUAGCUAGUUGGUGGGGUAAUGGCCCACCAAGGCGACGAUCCGUAGCUGGUCUGAGAGGAUGAUCAGCCACACUGGGACUGAGACACGGCCCAGACUCCUACGGGAGGCAGCAGUGGGGAAUAUUGGACAAUGGGCGCAAGCCUGAUCCAGCCAUGCCGCGUGAGUGAAGAAGGCCCUAGGGUUGUAAAGCUCUUUCAGCGGGGACGAUAAUGACGGUACCCGCAGAAGAAGCCCCGGCUAACUUCGUGCCAGCAGCCGCGGUAAUACGAAGGGGGCUAGCGUUGUUCGGAAUUACUGGGCGUAAAGGGCGCGUAGGCGGACGUUUAAGUCAGGGGUGAAAUCCCAGGGCUCAACCCUGGAACUGCCUUUGAUACUGGAUGUCUGGAGUUCGGGAGAGGUGAGUGGAAUUCCGAGUGUAGAGGUGAAAUUCGUAGAUAUUCGGAGGAACACCAGAAGCGAAGGCGGCUCACUGGCCCGAUACUGACGCUGAGGCGCGAAAGCGUGGGGAGCAAACAGGAUUAGAUACCCUAGUAGUCC
RNAcentral lists this ribosomal RNA (745 nucleotides) under uncultured bacterium. RNAcentral describes it as "bacterial SSU rRNA". It matches the Rfam family "Bacterial small subunit ribosomal RNA", at positions 8 to 796 of the family's 1533-position model. The record is from RNAcentral.